This 337-nucleotide ribosomal RNA is filed under the name uncultured bacterium. Its description in RNAcentral is "bacterial SSU rRNA". It matches the Rfam family "Bacterial small subunit ribosomal RNA", at positions 28 to 365 of the family's 1533-position model. The record is from RNAcentral.
GAUGAACGCUAGCGGCAGGCCUAACACAUGCAAGUCGAGGGGUAGAGUUUCUUCGGAGACUUGAGACCGGCGCACGGGUGCGUAACGCGUAUGCAAUCUGCCCUUUACUGGGGAAUAGCCCGGAGAAAUUCGGAUUAAUGCCCCAUAUGCCCGUAGAAUCGCCUGAUUCAGCGGGGAAAGUUCCGACGGUAAAGGAUGAGCAUGCGUCCCAUUAGCUAGUUGGUGAGGUAACGGCUCACCAAGGCGACGAUGGGUAGGGGGCCUGAGAGGGUGAUCCCCCACACUGGUACUGAGACACGGACCAGACUCCUACGGGAGGGCAGCAGUGAGGAAUAUU